RNAcentral lists this ribosomal RNA (760 nucleotides) under Carapus mourlani (star pearlfish). RNAcentral describes it as "partial 12S ribosomal RNA". It matches the Rfam family "Bacterial small subunit ribosomal RNA", at positions 350 to 1504 of the family's 1533-position model. The record is from RNAcentral. Lineage: Eukaryota; Metazoa; Chordata; Actinopteri; Ophidiiformes; Carapidae.
AGCAGUGAUAAACAUUAGGCCAUGAGCGAAAGCUUGACCUAAUUAUGGCUAAGAGGGCCGGUAAAUCUCGUGCCAGCCACCGCGGUUAUACGGGAGGACCCGAGUUGAUAAAGCCCGGCGUAAAGCGUGGUUAAGAGCACAAUAAACUAAAGCCGAAGACUAUCAAAGCUGUCGUACGCAUGUCGAGAGCACGAAGAACACUUACGAAAGUAGCUUUAACCAUCUGAGCCCACGAAAGCUAAGGCACAAACUGGGAUUAGAUACCCCACUAUGCUUAGCNGUAAACNNAGGUANNNGNNNUNNCCCCCUACUCGCCAGGGAACUACNAGCGNNAGCUUNAAACCCAAAGGACUUGGCGGNGCUUUAGACCCACCUAGAGGAGCCUGUUCUAUAACCGAUAACCCCCGUUAAACCUCACCUCUCCUAGUAAACACAGCCUAUAUACCGCCGUCGUCAGUCUACCCCGUGAGGGUUGAAAAGUAGGCAGAAUUGGCACAGCCCAAAACGUCAGGUCGAGGUGUAGCUCAUGGAGAGGGAAGAAAUGGGCUACAUUUUCUGACCAAGAAAAUUACGGAGAAUUGCACUGAAAUACCGCAUAUCGAAGGAGGAUUUAGCAGUAAGAGGGGAACAUAGUGCCCCCCUGAAACCGGCUCUAAAGCGUGCACACACCGCCCGUCACCCUCCCCGAAAUUGCGCACUAGCUACUAAUUAAGAAACAACAGCUUCAUGAGGGGAGGCAAGUCGUAACAUGGUAAGUGUA